UUGACCUCGGAUCAGGUAGGGAUACCCGCUGGAACUUAAGUU
RNAcentral lists this ribosomal RNA (42 nucleotides) under Rhizoplaca chrysoleuca. RNAcentral describes it as "partial 26S ribosomal RNA". The record is from RNAcentral. Lineage: Eukaryota; Fungi; Ascomycota; Lecanoromycetes; Lecanorales; Lecanoraceae.